GGGCGUGUAGCGCAGUUGGUAGCGCGUCUGCCUUGCAAGCAGAAGGUCACUGGUUCAAAUCCUGUCUCGUCCA
This 73-nucleotide transfer RNA is filed under the name Brettanomyces bruxellensis. RNAcentral describes it as "Dekkera bruxellensis tRNA". It matches the Rfam family "tRNA". From Rfam's summary of the family: Transfer RNA (tRNA) molecules are approximately 80 nucleotides in length. Their secondary structure includes four short double-helical elements and three loops (D, anti-codon, and T loops). Lineage: Eukaryota; Fungi; Ascomycota; Pichiomycetes; Pichiales; Pichiaceae. The record is from Rfam by way of RNAcentral.